Alosa sapidissima (American shad) is the source of this 102-nucleotide long non-coding RNA. RefSeq lists it as uncharacterized. The transcript has 3 exons. The record is from RefSeq and is a predicted model, not a curated record. Lineage: Eukaryota; Metazoa; Chordata; Actinopteri; Clupeiformes; Clupeidae.
UUUGUGUGUGUGUGUGUGUGUGUGUGUGUUACACAGUGUUUAAAGUAUGCUACAAGAAGUUUAGGUAUUGAGACUUUGGCCUAAAUAUUUGGCAAAAACUGU